CAUUGAAAAUUCUGAACUCCUUCAUCCAUCUGUGUAAAGCACUAAAGCAAAACAAAAUGGUACCAUCUGCAGAGGAUUCUCAAGUGAACUCCUGCAAGAAAAACGAGUGCACAGAAAUGGAUCAAGCUCUCUGGAGAAGCACUUGGGAAAUCAUUAAAUGGCAACCUUUAAAGCCUGGAAAUCAUGCUUUAGCCAUACAGACUACCCUCAGGCAAAUGGUUGCUCUCUGAUGAGCAGAACUUUUGCUUGUUGCACAUGAAAAAGAGAUCACAAUAGCUUUAACUUUCUUCUCUCUGCAGGAUGUGACCUCUAAGUCAUGUGAGGAUCUGGAGGUUACUCCAGUAUCUGUGUGUUCAUAUGCUUUAAACUAUGGUUUUUACUUUUCUGUCAGUCAUACCACAAUUAGGCAACAUGGUAUGCUUCGUAAACUCAGCAGGAACCUUUUUAUCUUUGAACUGUAGUAACAGCAAAGAAAUAAACACUAAGGGUUUGAUAGGGAUUCUUAUAUC
RNAcentral lists this long non-coding RNA (509 nucleotides) under Dromaius novaehollandiae (emu). Its description in RNAcentral is "lncRNA (ENSDNVG00000001654.1)". Lineage: Eukaryota; Metazoa; Chordata; Aves; Casuariiformes; Dromaiidae. The record is from RNAcentral.